UACGGAGGGUGCAAGCGUUAAUCGGAAUUACUGGGCGUAAAGCGCGCGUAGGCGGCAAGUUAAGUUGGGUGUGAAAGCCCCGGGCUCAACCUGGGAAGGCAUCAAACUGGCAUAGCUAGAGUACAGCAGAGGAUAGUGGAAUUUCCGGUGUAGCGGUGAAAUGCGUAGAGAUCGGAAGGAACACCAGUGGCGAAGGCGAC
RNAcentral lists this ribosomal RNA (200 nucleotides) under uncultured bacterium. RNAcentral's name for it is "partial 16S ribosomal RNA". It matches the Rfam family "Bacterial small subunit ribosomal RNA", at positions 524 to 725 of the family's 1533-position model. The record is from RNAcentral.